RNAcentral lists this unclassified non-coding RNA (347 nucleotides) under uncultured fungus. RNAcentral's name for it is "sequence contains ITS1". Lineage: Eukaryota; Fungi. The record is from RNAcentral.
AAUCCGAGAAUUUCACCUCUAGCGCCGCAAUACGAAUGCCCCCGUCUGUCCCUCUUAAUCAUUAUCUCAGAUUCCGAAGACCAACAGAAUAGAAUCGAGAUCCUAUUCCAUUAUUCCAUGCAAGAUUAUUCGGUCGGGAACGACUGCUUUAAGCACUCUAAUUUGUUCAAAGUAAACGUACGGAUCACUACCGACACCCGGUGAAGAGCAUUGGCAGAGGGUCCGUAUGCUGUUCGGCCGUCGCAGUAACCGCCGGCAAGCGGACCACGAGGCGCGAACUGAGAUCCAACUACGAGCUUUUUAACCGCAACAACUUUAAUAUACGCUAUUGGAGCUGGAAUUACCGC